ACUGUUCACCACCUGCUCAGCACCAACCAGCAGACAGACUCAGUUAGAGACUAACUGGUGAACAUAGUGGAGCAUUUAGCAGUUAAAGAGACAGAUAUUUCCCUCAGGAGCUGGUGGAGACCAAAAACAGAGCUAAAUUGGUGAUGAUACGUUGAGGUUGAUUGUUUCACGGUCUCUAAGUGUAAUGUGUCAUUCUGUGUUCUGUUGUUUUGCUUGUGUUUGUGUGUCUGUUCUAUGUCUUUGUGUUCUAGGUGCAGCUCCCUGAUGAUUGAUUGAGAGCACCUGUGUGACACAAGACACAGCUUUUUGUGUUCCCCUAUUUUAUGCUUUUUGUUGUCCUGUUGCAUCUUUAUGUAGCGGCUUUCGAGCCAGUUGUAACAUAAUUGGGGGCUUGUCCGGGAUUUUUCAUUUCAUUAACGUUUAAGUAUAUAACCAGCCAUUUCCACUCAUUCCCGGCCAGAUCCCCCCAUCAUCAUGUUGCUUUUGAAACCUGGAACCUGUAGGCUACAUGAACCCUAACCUGCCCCUGCCUGUACUCAUACCCAACCC
This is a long non-coding RNA of Sebastes umbrosus (honeycomb rockfish), 549 nucleotides long. RefSeq lists it as uncharacterized. Lineage: Eukaryota; Metazoa; Chordata; Actinopteri; Perciformes; Sebastidae. The transcript is spliced from 3 exons. The record is from RefSeq and is a predicted model, not a curated record.